GACGAACGCUGGCGGCGUGCUUAACACAUGCAAGUCGAACGGAAAGGCCCUGCUUUUGUGGGGUGCUCGAGUGGCGAACGGGUGAGUAACACGUGAGUAACCUGCCCUUGACUUUGGGAUAACUUCAGGAAACUGGGGCUAAUACCGGAUAGGAGCUCCUGCUGCAUGGUGGGGGUUGGAAAGUUUCGGCGGUUGGGGAUGGACUCGCGGCUUAUCAGCUUGUUGGUGGGGUAGUGGCUUACCAAGGCUUUGACGGGUAGCCGGCCUGAGAGGGUGACCGGCCACAUUGGUACUGAGAUACGGCCCAGACUCCUACUGGCGGCAGCAGUGGGGAAUAUUGCACAAUGGGCGGAAGCCUGAUGCAGCAACGCCGCGUGCGGGAUGACGGCCUUCGGGUUGUAACCCGCUUUCGCCUGUGACGAAGCGUGAGUGACGGUAAUGGGUAAAGAAGCACCGGCUAACUACGUG
RNAcentral lists this ribosomal RNA (468 nucleotides) under uncultured bacterium. RNAcentral's name for it is "partial 16S ribosomal RNA". It matches the Rfam family "Bacterial small subunit ribosomal RNA", at positions 28 to 507 of the family's 1533-position model. The record is from RNAcentral.